UACUCCUGUGACGAGACCUUGAACGAAGUAACCCACUAUUGCCAACAUGGCCAAUCUUCCGUUCUUAAUCUCCUUCAGCUUUAAGUCCCUCAAGGAUUUCUCAUCUUUGCCGAGCCCAAGAGGGUUGAAGAGGGGGCCACCAGGGUAUGGAGGAUCACCGGAGCCUCCCAAGUAUUUCUCGAAACCUAAGAAGUACUGCUUGCCCAAACACCCUGGCUUACACCAGUCCUGGAAUCUCCUGUGCUCAGCGAAUCCCAUGAGUGCCAGCUCAAAGACAAAUAAGGUGUAGGGAUCUGCCCAGUAGUCAUAUGUACCAGCAGGAGGAAUCACUCCAGUCUUGAACCAAGGAAGAGCUGUUUCAG
This 362-nucleotide long non-coding RNA is filed under the name Coffea arabica (coffee). RNAcentral describes it as "long non-coding RNA (CARA_LNC003883)". Lineage: Eukaryota; Viridiplantae; Streptophyta; Magnoliopsida; Gentianales; Rubiaceae. The record is from RNAcentral.